RNAcentral lists this ribosomal RNA (558 nucleotides) under Candida tropicalis. Its description in RNAcentral is "partial large subunit ribosomal RNA". Lineage: Eukaryota; Fungi; Ascomycota; Pichiomycetes; Serinales; Debaryomycetaceae. The record is from RNAcentral.
UAGCGGCGAGUGAAGCGGCAAAAGCUCAAAUUUGAAAUCUGGCUCUUUCAGAGUCCGAGUUGUAAUUUGAAGAAGGUAUCUUUGGGUCUGGCYCUUGUCUAUGUUUCUUGGAACAGAACGUCACAGAGGGUGAGAAUCCCGUGCGAUGAGAUGAUCCAGGCCUAUGUAAAGUUCCUUCGAAGAGUCGAGUUGUUUGGGAAUGCAGCUCUAAGUGGGUGGUAAAUUCCAUCUAAAGCUAAAUAUUGGCGAGAGACCGAUAGCGAACAAGUACAGUGAUGGAAAGAUGAAAAGAACUUUGAAAAGAGAGUGAAAAAGUACGUGAAAUUGUUGAAAGGGAAGGGCUUGAGAUCAGACUUGGUAUUUUGUAUGUUACUUCUUCGGGGGUGGCCUCUACAGUUUAUCGGGCCAGCAUCAGUUUGGGCGGUAGGAGAAUUGCGUUGGAAUGUGGCACGGCUUCGGUUGUGUGUUAUAGCCUUCGUCGAUACUGCCAGCCUAGACUGAGGACUGCGGUUUAUACCUAGGAUGUUGGCAUAAUGAUCUUAAGUCGCCCGUCUUGAA